This 490-nucleotide ribosomal RNA is filed under the name uncultured bacterium. RNAcentral's name for it is "partial 16S ribosomal RNA". It matches the Rfam family "Bacterial small subunit ribosomal RNA", at positions 28 to 507 of the family's 1533-position model. The record is from RNAcentral.
GAUGAACGCUAGCGAUAGGCUUAACACAUGCAAGUCGAGGGGCAGCAUGGUCUUAGCUUGCUAAGGCUGAUGGCGACCGGCGCACGGGUGCGUAACGCGUAUGCAACUUGCCUCACAGAGGGGGAUAACCCGGCGAAAGACGGAAUAAUACCGCGUACACACUAUGUUGGGCAUCCAAUGUAGAGGAACUGAAAUUCGCUGUGAGAUAGGCAUGCGUCCCAUUGGCUAGUUGGUGAGGUAACGGCUCACCAAGGCGACGAUGGGUAGGGGAACUGAGAGGUGGACACACCACACUGGUACCGCGACACGGACCAGAAUCCUACGGGAGACAGCAGUGAGGAAUAUUGGUCACUGGGCGAGAGCCUGAACCAGCCAAGUCGCGUGAAGGAUGCCUGGCUUAUGGAUUGUAAACUUCUUUUAUACGGGAAUAACAAGAGUAACGUGUGGCUCCAUGAAUGUACCGUAUGAAUAAGCCUCGGCUAACUACGUG